GGGUUGUGAGGUUAAGCGACUAAGCGUACACGGUGGAUGCCCUGGCAGUCAGAGGCGAUGAAGGACGUGCUAAUCUGCGAAAAGCGUCGGUAAGGUGAUAUGAACCGUUAUAGCCGGCGAUGUCCGAAUGGGGAAACCCAGUGCAAUUCGUUGCACUAUCGUUAACUGAAUACAUAGGUUAACGAGGCGAACCGGGGGAACUGAAACAUCUAAGUACCCCGAGGAAAAGAAAUCAACCGAGAUUCCCCCAGUAGCGGCGAGCGAACGGGGAGCAGCCCAGAGUCUGAAUCAGCUUGUGUGUUAGUGGAACGGUCUGGAAAGUCCGACGGUACAGGGUGAUAGUCCCGUACACCAAAAUGCACAGGCUGUGAACUCGAAGAGUAGGGCGGGACACGUGGUAUCCUGUCUGAAUAUGGGGGGACCAUCCUCCAAGGCUAAAUACUCCUGACUGACCGAUAGUGAACCAGUACCGUGAGGGAAAGGCGAAAAGAACCCCGGCGAGGGGAGUGAAAAAGAACCUGAAACCGUGUACGUACAAGCAGUGGGAGCACCUUCGGGUGUGACUGCGUACCUUUUGUAUAAUGGGUCAGCGACUUAUAUUCUGUAGCAAGGUUAACCGUAUAGGGGAGCCGCAGGGAAACCGAGUCUUAACUGGGCGUUAAGUUGCAGGGUAUAGACCCGAAACCCGGUGAUCUAGCCAUGGGCAGGUUGAAGGUUGGGUAACACUAACUGGAGGACCGAACCGACUAAUGUUGAAAAAUUAGCGGAUGACUUGUGGCUGGGGGUGAAAGGCCAAUCAAACCGGGAGAUAGCUGGUUCUCCCCGAAAGCUAUUUAGGUAGCGCCUCGUGAAUUCAUCUUCGGGGGUAGAGCACUGUUUCGGCUAGGGGGUCAUCCCGACUUACCAACCCGAUGCAAACUACGAAUACCGAAGAAUGUUAUCACGGGAGACACACGGCGGGUGCUAACGUCCGUCGUGAAGAGGGAAACAACCCAGACCGCCAGCUAAGGUCCCAAAGUCAUGGUUAAGUGGGAAACGAUGUGGGAAGGCACAGACAGCCAGGAUGUUGGCUUAGAAGCAGCCAUCAUUUAAAGAAAGCGUAAUAGCUCACUGGUCGAGUCGGCCUGCGCGGAAGAUGUAACGGGGCUAAACCAUGCACCGAAGCUGCGGCAGCGACACUAUGUGUUGUUGGGUAGGGGAGCGUUCUGUAAGCCUGCGAAGGUGUGCUGUGAGGCAUGCUGGAGGUAUCAGAAGUGCGAAUGCUGACAUAAGUAACGAUAAAGCGGGUGAAAAGCCCGCUCGCCGGAAGACCAAGGGUUCCUGUCCAACGUUAAUCGGGGCAGGGUGAGUCGACCCCUAAGGCGAGGCCGAAAGGCGUAGUCGAUGGGAAACAGGUUAAUAUUCCUGUACUUGGUGUUACUGCGAAGGGGGGACGGAGAAGGCUAUGUUAGCCGGGCGACGGUUGUCCCGGUUUAAGCAUGUAGGCUGGUUGUCCAGGCAAAUCCGGAUAAUCAAGGCUGAGGUGUGAUGACGAGGCACUACGGUGCUGAAGUAACAAAUGCCCUGCUUCCAGGAAAAGCCUCUAAGCAUCAGGUAACAUCAAAUCGUACCCCAAACCGACACAGGUGGUCAGGUAGAGAAUACCAAGGCGCUUGAGAGAACUCGGGUGAAGGAACUAGGCAAAAUGGUGCCGUAACUUCGGGAGAAGGCACGCUGGUGUGUAGGUGAAGUCCCUGCGGAUGGAGCUGAGACCAGUCGAAGAUACCAGCUGGCUGCAACUGUUUAUUAAAAACACAGCACUGUGCAAACACGAAAGUGGACGUAUACGGUGUGACGCCUGCCCGGUGCCGGAAGGUUAAUUGAUGGGGUUAUCCGUAAGGAGAAGCUCUUGAUCGAAGCCCCGGUAAACGGCGGCCGUAACUAUAACGGUCCUAAGGUAGCGAAAUUCCUUGUCGGGUAAGUUCCGACCUGCACGAAUGGCGUAAUGAUGGCCAGGCUGUCUCCACCCGAGACUCAGUGAAAUUGAACUCGCUGUGAAGAUGCAGUGUACCCGCGGCAAGACGGAAAGACCCCGUGAACCUUUACUAUAGCUUGACACUGAACAUUGAGCCUUGAUGUGUAGGAUAGGUGGGAGGCUUUGAAGCGUGGACGCCAGUCUGCGUGGAGCCAACCUUGAAAUACCACCCUUUAAUGUUUGAUGUUCUAACGUUGGCCCCUUACCGGGGUUGCGGACAGUGUCUGGUGGGUAGUUUGACUGGGGCGGUCUCCUCCCAAAGCGUAACGGAGGAGCACGAAGGUUAGCUAAUCCUGGUCGGACAUCAGGAGGUUAGUGCAAUGGCAUAAGCUAGCUUGACUGCGAGCGUGACGGCGCGAGCAGGUGCGAAAGCAGGUCAUAGUGAUCCGGUGGUUCUGAAUGGAAGGGCCAUCGCUCAACGGAUAAAAGGUACUCCGGGGAUAACAGGCUGAUACCGCCCAAGAGUUCAUAUCGACGGCGGUGUUUGGCACCUCGAUGUCGGCUCAUCACAUCCUGGGGCUGAAGUAGGUCCCAAGGGUAUGGCUGUUCGCCAUUUAAAGUGGUACGCGAGCUGGGUUUAGAACGUCGUGAGACAGUUCGGUCCCUAUCUGCCGUGGGCGCUGGAGAAUUGAGGGGGGCUGCUCCUAGUACGAGAGGACCGGAGUGGACGCAUCACUGGUGUUCGGGUUGUCAUGCCAAUGGCACUGCCCGGUAGCUAAAUGCGGAAGAGAUAAGUGCUGAAAGCAUCUAAGCACGAAACUUGCCCCGAGAUGAGUUCUCCCUGAGACUUUAAGUCUCCUGAAGGAACGUUAAAGACGAUGACGUUGAUAGGCCGGGUGUGUAAGCGCAGCGAUGCGUUGAGCUAACCGGUACUAAUGAACCGUGAGGCUUAACCUUACAACGCCGAAG
Molecule: ribosomal RNA, 2923 nt
Filed under: Klebsiella pneumoniae
Lineage: Bacteria; Pseudomonadati; Pseudomonadota; Gammaproteobacteria; Enterobacterales; Enterobacteriaceae
Description: bacterial LSU rRNA
Rfam family: Bacterial large subunit ribosomal RNA
Source: RNAcentral